This 27-nucleotide non-coding RNA is filed under the name Rattus norvegicus (Norway rat). Lineage: Eukaryota; Metazoa; Chordata; Mammalia; Rodentia; Muridae. The record is from RNAcentral.
UGGAUCUUUUUAAAGGGAAAAAGACAC